This 21-nucleotide microRNA is filed under the name Human alphaherpesvirus 1 (Herpes simplex virus type 1). RNAcentral's name for it is "hsv1-miR-H7-5p". Its record names the gene hsv1-miR-H7-5p. Lineage: Duplodnaviria; Heunggongvirae; Peploviricota; Herviviricetes; Herpesvirales; Orthoherpesviridae. The record is from miRBase by way of RNAcentral.
AAAGGGGUCUGCAACCAAAGG